AGUCUGACCUGCCCUAUGAUGAAAAUUAAAUGGCCGCGAUAAUUUGAUCGUGCAAAGGUAGCAUAAUAAUUAGUUUCUUAAUUAGGAACUGGUAUGAAAGGUCGAACGAGAAAAAAACUGUCUCAAUUUAAUUUUAAUUAGAAUUUUAUUUUUAAGUUAAAAAGCUUAAAUAAUUUUAAAAGACGAGAAGACCCUAUAGAGUUUUAUAUUUAUUUUUUUAUUUUUUAUUUAAGAAUUUUUAUAAAAGAUUAAAUUAUAAAUAUUUAGUUGGGGUGAUUGAAAAAUUUAAUAAACUUUUUUUAUUUAUUAAACAUUAAUAAAUGAACAUAUGAUCCAUAAUUUAUGAUUAAAAGAUUAAAUUACCUUAGGGAUAACAGCGUAAUUUUUUUUGAGAGUUCUUAUCGAAAAAAAAGUUUGCGACCUCGAUGUGGG
Molecule: ribosomal RNA, 432 nt
Filed under: Onthophagus laevigatus
Lineage: Eukaryota; Metazoa; Arthropoda; Insecta; Coleoptera; Scarabaeidae
Description: partial large subunit ribosomal RNA
Rfam family: Bacterial large subunit ribosomal RNA
Source: RNAcentral